RNAcentral lists this ribosomal RNA (253 nucleotides) under uncultured microorganism. Its description in RNAcentral is "partial 16S ribosomal RNA". It matches the Rfam family "Bacterial small subunit ribosomal RNA", at positions 524 to 776 of the family's 1533-position model. The record is from RNAcentral.
UACGAAGGGUGCAAGCGUUACUCGGAAUUACUGGGCGUAAAGCGUGCGUAGGUGGUUGUUUAAGUCUGUUGUGAAAGCCCUGGGCUCAACCUGGGAACUGCAGUGGAAACUGGAUGACUAGAGUGUGGUAGAGGGUAGCGGAAUUCCCGGUGUAGCAGUGAAAUGCGUAGAGAUCGGGAGGAACAUCCAUGGCGAAGGCAGCUACCUGGACCAACACUGACACUGAGGCACGAAAGCGUGGGGAGCAAACAGG